RNAcentral lists this ribosomal RNA (435 nucleotides) under uncultured bacterium. Its description in RNAcentral is "partial 16S ribosomal RNA". It matches the Rfam family "Bacterial small subunit ribosomal RNA", at positions 28 to 507 of the family's 1533-position model. The record is from RNAcentral.
GAUGAACGCUGGCGGUAUGCUUAACAAAUGCAAGUCGAACGGACUCUUCGGAGUUAGUGGCGGACGGGUGAGUAACGCGUGAGAAUCUGGCUUUGGGUUCGGGACAACCACUGGAAACGGUGGCUAAUACCGGAUGUGCCGAGAGGUAAAAGAGAAAUUGCCUGAAGAUGAGCUCGCGUCUGAUUAGCUAGUUGGUGAGGUAAAGGCUCACCAAGGCAGCGAUCAGUAGCUGGUCUGAGAGGAUGACCAGCCACACUGGGACUGAGACACGGCCCAGACUCCUACGGGAGGCAGCAGUGGGGAAUUUUCCGCAAUGGGCGAAAGCCUGACGGAGCAAUACCGCGUGAGGGAAGAAGGCUCUUGGGUUGUAAACCUCUUUUCUUAGGGAAGAACAAAAUGACGGUACCUAAGGAAUCAGCAUCGGCUAACUCCGUG